GUUGAGUUGAGUUGAGUUGUAUUUCCUUCCAAAUGUUGUGCCACGAUACAAAGUCUAGAUCACUUAAACAGCAAGUUAUAAAUUCCCAAAAAUUAUCUGCUCCCUAGAUGAACAUUAUGGGUCAGGAUUAGACCUGUUCAAUGAUGAGGCUCAAAUUGGGCCCAAGACUGGCCCAUAUAUAUACUGUGGAUUAAAUAAAGGUAACCUAAUUUGAAGGAAUAUACAAGCUUUGUGUUUAUUUGGUUUUCUGUAAGACCCGUACACCAUCUUUGUUUUGAAUUCUCUCUCAAUUCCAAUUGUGAGAGACUGAAAAUAUUAUCUUCUCUGCAGUGAUUUUACAUCAACUAUGUCAUU
This 354-nucleotide unclassified non-coding RNA is filed under the name Hevea brasiliensis (rubber tree). Lineage: Eukaryota; Viridiplantae; Streptophyta; Magnoliopsida; Malpighiales; Euphorbiaceae. The record is from RNAcentral.